UCCCUCUCAGGACCGUACCUGGAGAGUUUGCAGUACUCUACCAGUUUCGGCUGUAGAAGGGAGAGUCAAGCAGAGGCAUACCCAUUCCAUUCUUAGCUUGGGCAGUGGCUAGCGAGUAGAAGGCAAGCUGCUACAGGU
Molecule: small nucleolar RNA, 138 nt
Organism: Tachyglossus aculeatus (Australian echidna)
Lineage: Eukaryota; Metazoa; Chordata; Mammalia; Monotremata; Tachyglossidae
Source: RefSeq, a predicted model, not a curated record